GGACGAACGCUGGCGGCGUGCUUACCCCAUGCAAGUCGAACGGAAAGGCCCUGCUUUUGUGGGGUGCUCGAGUGGCGAACGGGUGAGUAACACGUGAGUAACCUGCCCUUGACUUUGGGAUAACUUCAGGAAACUGGGGCUAAUACCGGAUAGGAGCUCCUGCUGCAUGGUGGGGGUUGGAAAGUUUCGGCGGUUGGGGAUGGACUCGCGGCUUAUCAGCUUGUUGGUGGGGUAGUGGCUUACCAAGGCUUUGACGGGUAGCCGGCCUGAGAGGGUGACCGGCCACAUUGGGACUGAGAUACGGCCCCGACUCCUACGGGAGGCAGCAGUGGGGAAUAUUGCACAAUGGGCGGAAGCCUGAUGCAGCAACGCCGCGUGCGGGAUGACGGCCUUCGGGUUGUAAACCGCUUUCGCCUGUGACGAAGCGUGAGUGACGGUAAUGGGUAAAGAAGCACCGGCUAACUACGUG
RNAcentral lists this ribosomal RNA (469 nucleotides) under uncultured bacterium. RNAcentral's name for it is "partial 16S ribosomal RNA". It matches the Rfam family "Bacterial small subunit ribosomal RNA", at positions 27 to 507 of the family's 1533-position model. The record is from RNAcentral.